RNAcentral lists this ribosomal RNA (495 nucleotides) under uncultured bacterium. RNAcentral's name for it is "partial 16S ribosomal RNA". It matches the Rfam family "Bacterial small subunit ribosomal RNA", at positions 28 to 507 of the family's 1533-position model. The record is from RNAcentral.
GACGAACGCUGGCGGCGUGCCUAAUACAUGCAAGUAGAACGCUGAAGGAGGAGCUUGCUUCUCUGGAUGAGUUGCGAACGGGUGAGUAACGCGUAGGUAACCUGCCUGGUAGCGGGGGAUAACUAUUGGAAACGAUAGCUAAUACCGCAUAAUAUUGACUAUUGCAUGAUAGUCAGUUGAAAGGUGCAACUGCACCACUACCAGAUGGACCUGCGUUGUAUUAGCUAGUUGGUGGGGUAACGGCUCACCAAGGCGACGAUACAUAGCCGACCUGAGAGGGUGAUCGGCCACACUGGGACUGAGACACGGCCCAGACUCCUAAGGGAGGCAGCAGUAGGGAAUCUUAGGCAAUGGACGGAAGUCUGACCGAGCAACGCCGAGUGAGUGAAGAAGGUUUUCGGAUCGUAAAGCUCUGUUGUAAGAGAAGAACGAGUGUGAGAGUGGAAAGCUCACACUGUGACGGUAGCUUACCAGAAAGGGACGGCUAACUACGUG